CCGACCCUGGGACAGGCUCUGGCUGGCUCCUGGGGGUGGCCUUGUCAGCACAGGAUGCUGGAAGCUGGACACUCAUAAAACAUCAUGAAAUGGACUCUGUGUGGUGGCCCAUCUGUCCUGGAACUAGAAAGCUGGACAAAAUAUAUGAAACAACCGGAUUUGGACAUCAGGACCACAGGCUGCACAGGACUGCGAUCCCUAAGAGACAGGAAACAGAUGAAGCGAGGUGUCCAGUCCACUCGGUUUUCUUCCUGGAGGCAGCGUUCCUACCACCGCAGGGAGGGGAGAGUGGACAGCGCGUGGCUGUCUGCAGAAGUGAGGAGGCGGAGGCUGGGCCCUGGGGAUGCUGCCGGCAGAGCAGUAGAGAGGAGAUCCAAAUGUCUCAUCAGGUCCCCUGGAGCGGUCACUGAGCCGGAAUCUACGCACGCACAGCGGGAAACUCCAUGAGGCGGGCGGAGAAUGGAACUGUUGUUCCAAAGGUCUUUUAAAACUCCUCGUGCAAUAGUUUGAUGCACAGAAAGAUACAGAAGCACAUCACUAGUCUGAGGGGAAAAAAUGGAUGCCAAAGCUGCUGGUCACAUGUGAAGCCAGCCUCCACGGAACUCGCUUGGUACGACCUCUCAUUCACCUUGAGAGAAUCAGGGGAGAAGCUAUAAUUCCUUCACUGCCAAGUA
This is a long non-coding RNA of Equus quagga, 674 nucleotides long. RefSeq lists it as uncharacterized. The transcript has 3 exons. Lineage: Eukaryota; Metazoa; Chordata; Mammalia; Perissodactyla; Equidae. The record is from RefSeq and is a predicted model, not a curated record.